GACGAACGCUGGCGGCGUGCUUAACACAUGCAAGUCGAACGGAAAGGCCCUGCUUUUGUGGGGUGCUCGAGUGGCGAACGGGUGAGUAACACGUGAGUAACCUGCCCUUGACUUUGGGAUAACUUCAGGAAACUGGGGUUAAUACCGGAUAGGAGCCCCUGCUGCAUGGUGGGGGUUGGAAAGUUUCGGCGGUUGGGGAUGGACUCGCGGCUGAUCAGCUUGUUGGUGGGGUAGUGGCUUACCAAGGCUUUGACGGGUAGCCGGCCUGGGAGGGUGACCGGCGACAUUAGGACUGAGAUACGGCCCAGACUCCUACGGGAGACAGCAGUGGGGAAUAUUGCACAAUGGGCGGAAGCGUGAUGCAGCAACGCCGCGUGCGGGAUGACGGCCUUCGGGUUGUAAACCGCUUUCGCCUGUGACGAAGCGUUAGUGACGGUAAUGGGUAAAGAAGCACCGGCUAACUACGUG
This 468-nucleotide ribosomal RNA is filed under the name uncultured bacterium. Its description in RNAcentral is "partial 16S ribosomal RNA". It matches the Rfam family "Bacterial small subunit ribosomal RNA", at positions 28 to 507 of the family's 1533-position model. The record is from RNAcentral.